Molecule: non-coding RNA, 1144 nt
Organism: Rattus norvegicus (Norway rat)
Lineage: Eukaryota; Metazoa; Chordata; Mammalia; Rodentia; Muridae
Source: RefSeq, a predicted model, not a curated record
UCCAUGUUCUUUCUCAGAGGUGUGGACACUAAUUGGUGUCAGGCCAAGCAAACAAUUUAUUCUUCCCCGAAUUAACUCUUUAUGGUUUGUGCAGCAGCCUUAUAUGUAUCAAGAUGCAUUUUAUUAAGUCUUCAUGGGUAUCUGGGACCUGGUAGAGUUAGUGGGACUUGGGAGUAGGAAUGGGAGAAAGGGCCAGCAUGAUCUUACUAUGCAGACUGUAUUUCCAGAAACCUGCUCAGCCAGCUCCUGAUGGAGAACACAUGUAGGAAGAAGUUGGUCCCACUGAAAGAGGAGAACAAGGAGGGACAUCUUGAGUGUGCACUGAACCAGAAAUAUUUGGUUGACUUCAACAAGAAAGAUAAAGACCAUCAACGGCCAGAACCAGCAUUAUCAGGUCUCAGAAAGUGCAAGAGAGCUGGAAUUGGACACACCCCAGUAAGAGAGCUUCCUGAAGAAUAAGUUGCUUUCUCAGGAGUCCCUGAUGACCAACAUCCUGAAUGAAAACAGCACUUGAGAGACAACUUGGGGGACCGCCUUUCAUUAUGUGUGCUAGAGGAGAAACAGCAAUACGUCUGUGCUUCUAAAUGUUCGUUAAGAAUAUGCUUUUAGAAAUAUUUUUGUUAUGAUUUUAAUUGAAGUUUUCUUUUUGUUGUUUCAUAUUUAUAUGUUCUUGUUACUAUUUUUACUUUAAAAUAUUUUUAAAUAUUUUUAUUCAUUUUAAUCCUGUUUUGUUGUAAAAAUAUAUUUGUUAUGAAUAAAAAUUGAAUUCUAUCUCUUGACUCUUAAGACCAUCUUUCUUACUCAAGGGUUCUGUCCCUUCCUGUGGACCUAGAACUGACAGCUACAGAUGGAUCUCUGCAUGUUCCAUGGAGCCUGGGCUAAUAAGUGAAUUCAAAGUCACCAAGGUGUACCCAGUGUGACAGUGUCUUUUGUGUGGAUAAUGUGGCUGUUUCUCGGACACACACUUUAUGAUGUAAUCACUGACAUGCUUUACCCAAAUGUUAGGGUCCUUGUGGUUCUUCUGAGAGAGCAGCAGAUGCUCUACCCUGUGAGUCAUCACCACAGCUCCUGCAGGUGGCUUUUGUUAUUCCACAUGAGGUGCUGUAUUAGGUGGACAAGAUCACCUAUGAUUAAAUAGAGAGAU